Molecule: long non-coding RNA, 1144 nt
Organism: Thunnus maccoyii (southern bluefin tuna)
Lineage: Eukaryota; Metazoa; Chordata; Actinopteri; Scombriformes; Scombridae
Exons: 7
Source: RefSeq, a predicted model, not a curated record
CAACCAAAGCUAGUAAUUAGCUUAGCGAUUAGCGUUAGCAAUCUUUUUAGGACAUUAAUUCAAUGAUACAAUAUGCACCAAAGUACGCUGGAAACAUUAGGACAACAUUCUAAUAUUCCUGAUUGCUUUUUACGAAAGUAUCUGAACUUAAACAAGAGAAAAUGGCUGCCAUAGAUCCUGGCUCUGAGGAGCGGCAUGUAAGGUCAGACAGUGAGACGCAUCUUCAUCUCUGAGCAAUGCUUCAUGGACGAUAUAGCACAUUUGCAACACAGAAGAAAAUAGGAUGGAGGCAGAAAAUAGAAUACAGCGGAUGCUUGGUACUGCGGAUCUGCACAGAGGCUAUUUCUGGUGCCGUGUGACACUGAUGAUGUUGACAGCAAUCGCCUUCCCACAUCACAGCCACCGCAAAGGAGAAAGAUUGCAGCUGCUGAAUUGUCCUUAGUCUGCUGUGGAUGAAACAUAUUGAUGACAUAUUGCAUCAGAUGCCUUGCUCAUGGGAGAUGAGAGCUUUUCUAUUGGCAGAACACUCACCUUCAUAAACAAGGAGUCAACACUUGAGGUGACUUGCAGAAGAUGAAGAGAAAUCAUUUAGAGGAAGAUAAGUGUGUCGGAAGAUAAUGGCUUCACAGGUUGAACAUGGUGAAGAAACACUGGCUCCUGCGACUGAAGCUGAUGAAACACAGCAACAACCUGAGAAAUCCAGGCAUCUCGGUCUUGGUGACAGCAUUUCACAUUGAGGUGGCAUGUCUCGGAAAACAAAACUAAGACGGCUAAAUAUUUCCGAUCACUUACAUGGCCUACAGUUCUCACACCACACCUCUUUAUUGGUCCAAGACAGCAUCAGGAUGACUGUGUCCAGAUGACCAGAUCACCACUGGACAGGCAGAGGAGGAGACACUGGCUCCUUCUGCCUAACCUGUAUGUUUUGUUUGGUUUGUGUCUUGCUUCACUCUGUCUGUUUGGCAGGUACACAUGCAGACAGAUCAACUAAAUAUGACAGGAUCCCUGCUCAAGCACACAGCUCAAUCUCUGUUCUGUGCCUGUAGUGUGCAGCUGCCUUCGGGAAGUCCUGUCAGCGCUUACCAUUUGGCCUUGAACCUGUGCUAAACUAUUGAGUUCAUCAUGCAUAAAACAUUAAAGAUGU